This 73-nucleotide transfer RNA is filed under the name Dipodomys ordii (Ord's kangaroo rat). It matches the Rfam family "tRNA". Rfam says of the family: Transfer RNA (tRNA) molecules are approximately 80 nucleotides in length. Their secondary structure includes four short double-helical elements and three loops (D, anti-codon, and T loops). The record is from Rfam by way of RNAcentral. Lineage: Eukaryota; Metazoa; Chordata; Mammalia; Rodentia; Heteromyidae.
GGCGGUAUGGAUCAAGCUGUAGAGCACCUGCUUAACAAGCAUAAGGCCCUGAGUUCAAACCCCAGUGCCACCA